CAAUAGCGUAUAUUAAAGUUGUUGCAGUUAAAAAGCUCGUAGUUGGAUUUGUGGUGUGUCCAGUCGGCCUUUGCUCUCUGAGUGAUUGUGCUGUACUGGUCUGCCAUGUUUGGGUGGAAUCUGUGUGGCAUUAAGUUGUCGUGCAGGGGAUGCCCAUCGUUUACUGUGAAAAAAUUAGAGUGUUCAAAGCAGGCUUAUGCCGUUGAAUAUAUUAGCAUGGAAUAAUAAUAUAGGACCUUGGUACUAUUUUGUUGGUUUGCGCACUAAGGUAAUGAUUAAGAGGGACAGUUGGGGGUAUUUGUAUUCCAUUGUCAGAGGUGAAAUUCUUAGAUUUUUGGAAGACAAACUACUGCGAAAGCAUUUACCAAGGAUGUUUUCAUUA
RNAcentral lists this ribosomal RNA (382 nucleotides) under uncultured eukaryote. Its description in RNAcentral is "partial 18S ribosomal RNA". It matches the Rfam family "Eukaryotic small subunit ribosomal RNA", at positions 592 to 975 of the family's 1831-position model. The record is from RNAcentral.